Mesocricetus auratus (golden hamster) is the source of this 971-nucleotide long non-coding RNA. RefSeq lists it as uncharacterized. The transcript is spliced from 3 exons. The record is from RefSeq and is a predicted model, not a curated record. NCBI's taxonomy places the organism in Eukaryota, Metazoa, Chordata, Mammalia, Rodentia, Cricetidae.
UGCAGGCUGGCAAACACGGUAGGGAGAGGUUAGUCUCCCCCAGCCUAACUUUUCCAGAACUCAGUAAAUGGCUCCUUCUCGCAACCAGACACCUGCAACAGCGACUUUCGGGUGCUAUUGGAACCACACCGGGUAGCCUAGCCGCCUCGCACAGCAGCCAAAACGUCGAGGAGUUAGCGGAGAUUCCUCUCGCCGUCUCCUGCAUCCAUCAGCAGGCGGGCAGACGCUGCCAUCAAUCAAAGGCAAAUUCAGCCGCUUCUCUCCAUCCGUCUCCGCCACACCCGAGCUGCCCGCUCUUCCCCAGUCGCCCCUAACUGCUGGCUCCUGGCUUCUCAAUUGCCCGUGCGCCCGCUCUCUCUUCAGCAGCCGACUGAGGGUGUGAAAUCUAUAAAUCAGAGGAAGUUACUCCCUGAUUAAACGGCCUUCUUUAACACUCAGGGUAACAUGCCAACUCCUCGCCCUGACCUCACACGCCCCAAACAUCCGUGCUACUGCCCGGACGCCAUUUUCUCCUGAUUCUGAAAGUGGCCCAGUUUACUCCGGCCUUUAGAUCAACCGUUUCCUCUACCUGGGCCACCACACUCCCUCCUCACACCUCUUCCAUGACUCCGUCAGUCCCCAUCUUCAUAUGCUCAGCUCUGCCUGCCUUACGAAAGCCGCCUCCUCCAGGAAGCCUUCUCUGAAUGCUCUAGUGCCCACCACACGGUGAACAUUUCAGUCAGGAGAAACUGGGAUAACAAGCUAAUGGCCUGACAAAUAAAUGACAGCGGCUAGUGGAUGAGCAAACAGACACGCGUCUGGAAGGCAAGGUCCACACGUGUGUGGAUGGGUGCCGGGCAGGAGAAGGACUGUGUCAGGUGACAGCUCUCAACUCCAGCCGACCUCUCUGUGUGUCUCACCCUGGCAGGGAUCGAAUGUCACCAGUCACCCCUGGCGAUGAUCGAAUGUCACCAGUCACGGCUUCCCUUCAC